Molecule: long non-coding RNA, 1130 nt
Filed under: Lathyrus oleraceus (garden pea)
Lineage: Eukaryota; Viridiplantae; Streptophyta; Magnoliopsida; Fabales; Fabaceae
Description: Pisum sativum (pea) long non-coding RNA (PSAT_LNC021878)
Source: RNAcentral
UAUACAUCUACAAUUAAGAGAAAAUAAAAAGAAUUAAAUUAAUAAUUUUGUUCUUUUUCAUUUCAUUGCCCAAAAUUUAUAGAACAAAGCCAUAAUUUCAAGGUAUAUAAAAUUACAAAACGAAAACUAAAUAAAAAAAAUACAAUUAUGGAUAGGAAACAUAAUCUUAAAUGAUAACUUAUGGAAGUAUAUUAUUUAUAUAUAUUUUUUAUUUCAAGAAAUAAUUCUUCCUUGCAACUAUGACUUUUGACGAAUCUCUAGAAACACUCUACAAGCUUUAUUAAUGCACUUAUAAACGAUUUGCAACAUGAGAGGGAGAACCCUUAUGUUUGGACAAUCUUUGUCUGUUUCACAUGCAAGAACCUCUGCAGUGAAAAGUAGAGUAAAAAAUAUUAGUAAACACAAUUAAAUAUUUUUCUUUUUUUAAAUUUUAGUCGGUGUUUUUAUUUUUAUUUUUAAUCCGACAAGAAUAUCCCUAAUACUCGUUUAAUACAAUCCUAGCUUAAACAAAACUACAAAAUAAAAAGGAAAUAACCAAAGGGUGAAAAUAAUUUACUGAUAGCCUCGGUUGAAAAAAGAAAUAUGGAAAGAAAUAAAAUUAUAAUAUAAAUAAAUUUGAGAAUUUUAGCCAUCUUUUUUCUCUUUUUAUUUUACUAAUAAAAAGAGAUUUUAUCAACUUAUAAUGUGUAAAUAUAACACAAUACUUAAAACAUUUAAAUAUUGGUAGCACUAAAUUACAUAAUAUAUUUUAAUUGCCCCUUUUAUACACAUAAUAAAUUUCUCUUGUGCAUAUUUUGUGAAGGGGUAACAUACAAAUAAUUUAUAAUCUUUAAGUAAAUUUUCAUCAUUUGGUAAUAGAGAGGGACAUGUUUGAAAAUUGUUAAACUAUGUUCAAAUUAUCCAUAUCAAUAAUGAACGGUUGAGGAGACAAUAUUUUAUUUAUAAGUUCGAAAUAUUGUAUGAUUUCUUUAUAUAAAAUUAUUUGAUCAUAAGGAUAGGAAUCAUAUUUUGUAUUAUAGUGUAAUUUUUACAACCAUUACAAAGGGAAUUACUUUCCAUAGACCGAAAGUGAACAAAUUGAAAAUUUGAAUGUAUCCUUCCAUAUACAAAGAGGUAAAUUUGGACAAACC